This 138-nucleotide ribosomal RNA is filed under the name uncultured eukaryote. RNAcentral's name for it is "partial 18S ribosomal RNA". It matches the Rfam family "Eukaryotic small subunit ribosomal RNA", at positions 1299 to 1458 of the family's 1831-position model. The record is from RNAcentral.
UGGUGGAGCGAUUUGUCUAGUUAAUUCCGAUAGCGAACGAGACUCUGGCCUAUUAAAUAGUUCGCCGAUUCCGAUCUGUCGGCGUUAACUUCUUAGAGGGACAAGUGGCUUUUAGCCACGCGAGAUUGAGCAAUAACA